Prionailurus viverrinus (fishing cat) is the source of this 2987-nucleotide long non-coding RNA. RefSeq lists it as uncharacterized. The transcript is spliced from 4 exons. Lineage: Eukaryota; Metazoa; Chordata; Mammalia; Carnivora; Felidae. The record is from RefSeq and is a predicted model, not a curated record.
UGACCACUUUCUCGACCUAGGAUGGUUCAGCAAGGAGGAAAGAAGACAGGAUGAAAAGAGAAAAUGAGCGGAUGUCAUUGUAGGUGGAAAGCGUUUGUUCUAAGUGAGUCACGUGGCUCUAGCCACCUAUCAAGUGACAUCUCUGAGAGCCAUUUAGGAUUCCCAGAAUACCUUUUGGCAGACUUCCGCUGGGCCAUGAGGGCUGGCCUAUAGCCAUUCCAUAAAAGCACAAUCUGAUCGGAGGACAUCAGCAAGAAAAGGUAGAGAUAUUUUUAAUUCGGGUCCUUGGACUUCAUUCUAGAAGGAAGUUGAAAAAAAAACCCGCUUCAGAUCAAUACCAUAUUGGAUUGAGAAUAUUGUCUGACAUGGCGCAUAUUGUCUGACAUUUUAAGAGAGCAAUAUUACUGAAUCUCACAGAAAUAAACACUGCAGCUGCCCCCUAAUCGGGCAUUCAGUGCAACAAAACAACUUUUGGAAAGCCCUGUCCACGGGAGAAAGGACUGCCUCACAUACUGUGCCUCUCGAGAACGGAAACAAGGAUAGUGUCUACCUUCCCGAGAAUUGACGUCGCAUUAAGAUUAUCUCCCGAUGAAAAGAGCUAAGCUGUUACCAUAAGCCCUGUUUCACUGAACCCACAGUUUGUGACCGUGCACACGGCAGCACAGGAUAAGGACUGCGUACAUUUCCUGGCCUCCCUUGCAGAUAGUGUCCGUGUGACCUAGUUCUGCUCAAUGGGAGGCAAGCAGAAGCGGUGUGUGCAACUUCUACUAAGUGUUCUCAAGUGGAGAGAGUAUGAUCUCCUUUGUCCUUCCCUUCAUCCUAGGGACUGGAAUUCGGAGGAUUGCUCACAUAGUGACUGUCGAAAAUGAACCUGAUGGUGGAGCUUCAGAUGACAUAGAAAGCCAGCGGAGGAGACGCUUUUGGUUAGGUUGCCUUGUAUGUCCUACUAACCUCGGGCAGGCAGUCCCCCUUACGUCCGGCUUGUGACCUUGUUUAAGUCCUGUAGAGGAAGACCCAAAUUCCCAGGAAUCAUCAGUGAUUUCUAGUCAUUACGGAAAUACUAUGGGCAAAGUUUCCAGAAAGAAGGGAUCCAUCUUUAAGGAUCUGAGGGUCAACUAAAAUUGUAGGAGAAAGGAAUUACGAGCGAGAUAGAUCUGUGAUUAUGACAUUGGUUGGGACGAGAAAUGAAAAUAUCCACAAACUCCCCGAGAGAGGACUCAGAAUGGGAGAGCUGGGGUGUCACCAGGAUAGACCUUGCCCAAACCCCCAUGGUUUCUGCCUCCACUCUCCUUCCAGGAUACUGUGGGCGUAAUCGGAGGACAGGACCGUGUCCAUUCCCCUUGGUGCCCUGGCAUCUAGCUACAGUACCUGGCACACAGCUGGUGCUGGGGGAAAAAGCAAUGAAUGAACGAACGGAUGAAUGAAUGAACACGGUGACGAAGUGUUGCCGUGAAGUCAGUCAGGUGUGUGCAACCUGAACUGCCACUUAGGCAUCUGUCAUCUACUUCCCCUAUUCGUCUUGCCAAUUUCUUCGUCGUCCUGUAAUCGCAUCGCUCAGACCUCUCAGCACGGCUUCAGUGGCGGCGGCGUCACUCACGGUGGCAGGUGGCAGGCUUCGCCCACUGCAUUAUUCGGUGUGUCACGAGCUGCCUCGGUUCUAAAGGAGAAGGAGCCUCAAAAAAGUGGCUUCCCCACUUGCAGGCAUGACACAGUGUCUUCGCUGCACGAACUUUUGGUCUCCCGCUUGGAUCCUACGGAGGUAACCUUUGCGGGGGCCUCAGGGAAAGUGGGACAAGUGGGUAAUGACACUGAGUGAAGGCAGUACAGACAACACCUUCCUCUGGGCUCUUAGACAAGCCUUUCCUGGUCCUCUCUGCUCCAGUCCCUGUGCAAUAGGACAAGGGUGGCUGUACCCCCUUGUGCCACCUUCCGGGGUUCUCAUGAGAAAAAUAGAUGGAGAAGCUCUUUGAAAAACUUGAUGUUCUAUUUAAAUGUUCUCUCUGGAGAAUGAAGUUUUCCUAGGGGCACAUCUUUUAGCUUUUCCUAUAACCCUGUCGCUCCCUAAGCCUUUUUCUUUUCUUUUUUUCCUAAAUGAGAGAGAGAAAAAAAAUCCCAUGUGCCAUUUCCUCCUCCGCCUUUCUCUCAUUAGGAUUAAAAAAAAAAAAAAAAAAAGGCAUUAUUUUCCGAGUUCCUCAGCAACUGAACUUUACGAGAUAGGAAAUUCUCAAUUCUGAGUCAAAAUUCACAUGUAAACCAAUUUUCUUAACCUGAUGCCUGCUUUUACAUUCAGAAAAGCUUCAGAUUUCUGUCUUCACAUCACCGUGAACUCUCCAUUUCUCCUGAGCUUGUUCAUCAGUCUCUGAGAAAAUUCUCCCAGCAACUCCCCCCCGCCCACAGUAAGGUCCUCCAGAUCAGUGUGAAACCCUUAAUUUAAUAACACCAUUACGGCUUCCCAACAUGGGUAAAUGAGAUAAACUACAUAUACGCCAGGAAAGAAGGAAAUUAAUUUUUCUCAGUUGAACAAAGGAGAAAGCCUUGCAAAAGCAGUAAUUUGACAGCUAAUAGCAGUAGGGAUCAUGGAGAAUCCUGAAUCAAGAGGUGGGGAGGUCAUGUAUCCUUGACAGGUUUCAGAAUACCUCCAGAGAUCCCAACAGCCACAGAUCGGAAAAGACCCAAGAGGCAAAACAUCCCUUAAGACACGAAAAGUGAUGGAUGGGAGUCUGAAAAGAGAGGACCCCGUCCUAUUCCGAACUCAGGUUUGACACUGGGGAUUCACAUUAAAUCAAGAGUCCCCAGAACUUGUGUUUUAGCUACGUCAAAGACUUUUGGUCAAUGUGUUGUUCAGGUCAUGAGCAGAAGACACCCAGCACCUCGUUUUCUAGACCCAGAUUUUUGGGGAGUGGAAGGGAAGAGAUUCAUAAUUUACAAGACAUUUGAAGUAAAAUAUAGGGGUACCUGGGUUCAGUAGGUGGAGCAUCCAACUUUGG